AGUGGCGGACGGGUGAGUAACGCGUGGGCAACCUGCCCCAUACAGGGGGAUAACAGCCGGAAACGGCUGCUAAAACCGCAUAAGCGCACAAGGGCCGCAUGGCCUGGUGUGAAAAACUCCGGUGGUAUGGGAUGGGCCCGCGUCUGAUUAGCUAGUUGGCGGGGGAGAGGCCCACCAAGGCGACGAUCAGUAGCCGACCUGAGAGGGUGGCCGGCCACAUUGGGACUGAGACACGGCCCAAACUCCUACGGGAGGCAGCAGUGGGGAAUAUUGCCCAAUGGGGGAAACCCUGAUGCAGCGACGCCGCGUGAGCGAAGAAGUAUUUCGGUAUGUAAAGCUCUAUCAGCAGGGAAGAAGAUGACGGUACCUGACCAAGAAGCCCCGGCUAACUACGUGCCAGCAGCCGCGGUAAUACGUAGGGGGCAAGCGUUAUCCGGAUUUACUGGGUGUAAAGGGAGCGCAGACGGCAGUGCAAGUCUGGAGUGAAAGCCCGGGGCCCAACCCCGGAACUGCUCUGGAAACUGUGCGGCUAGAGUACUGGAGGGGCAGGCGGAAUUCCUAGUGUAGCGGUGAAAUGCGUAGAUAUUAGGAGGAACACCAGUGGCGAAGGCGGCCUGCUGGACAGUAACUGACGUUGAGGCUCGAAAGCGUGGGGAGCAAACAGGAUUAGAUACCCUGGUA
Molecule: ribosomal RNA, 681 nt
Filed under: uncultured bacterium
Lineage: Bacteria
Description: bacterial SSU rRNA
Rfam family: Bacterial small subunit ribosomal RNA
Source: RNAcentral